Long non-coding RNA from Chelonia mydas (Green sea turtle), 613 nucleotides. RefSeq lists it as uncharacterized. The record is from RefSeq and is a predicted model, not a curated record. NCBI's taxonomy places the organism in Eukaryota, Metazoa, Chordata, Testudines, Cheloniidae. The transcript is spliced from 4 exons.
GUGCAACACCCUCCAGGAAGCUGAGGGGUUAGGGGAAGUGCUCUCACUGGGCUGCUAUUGAAAAGAGGAAUUGCUCCAUGAAACCAAAUGGACAGAAGGGAGAUUAUGUGGAGUCUUCUAUUCCUGAGAAGGCUUAUGUAAACCUGCUGGAAACUGUUACCCUGGAUUCCCUGAGAGAGCUCGGAGCAAAUUAACCCAGAGAGUGAACUGACUCAGCAGGAGCAAAGCUGGAUCUGAAGCUUGAGAUUUGCUGAAUGUGACAUGCUGGAAGGACGCAAGCUAUCACUAGGUAGCCCUUAAUUCCAAGGAUGAACUCAAAUCCGCCACUCCAGGAGGGCAGCUGAGAUUAAAACCAAAGUUGUCCACCACAUGAAACUGGUCUGUGGAUUAAGACUGCCUAAACGAUAGAAGAGGCAGAGAACCUGUCUCCUGCACAGGCACAAGAAGUCAAAACAUUUUCAGGGCACAGUCAGCAUCAACCUGAUAGCAUGCUACCCACCUUCCCUCUAAUUUAAUGUCAUGCAGUUCAUCUGUAAACUAGAUUCCCUGGUUUAACACUCUCAGGUGAGGGGGCAUCCUGGUAUGCACUUUAUCAAUGAGGAUAAAUGGUUAA